Pistacia vera is the source of this 1312-nucleotide RNA transcript. RefSeq lists it as uncharacterized. The transcript has 11 exons. The record is from RefSeq and is a predicted model, not a curated record. NCBI's taxonomy places the organism in Eukaryota, Viridiplantae, Streptophyta, Magnoliopsida, Sapindales, Anacardiaceae.
AAACAAAAGAAAACCAAAAUUUGAACUAAAACCCUAAUUCGACCCGUUGCUGCUUUUUGAUUUUUUUUUUUUUUUAAAAUUAUUCAGUUACAAUCAAUAAUAUAAAAUAAUAAAAAAAUUCAUGAAAGGAACGAAACGAUUCGCUGCGUCGGACUCGGCAUCGGACCCGAACGACACCGCCUUUCGGAAUAAAAGAAUACUGGCAGGAUCCGCAUUUGAUUCUCAUAGGGCUGAGCCAUCCCAACAGCCGUCAACGGAGACACCAGCAUUGGAUAUGCAACGGGCUGAGUCAUCCCGUCAGCACGUGAGAGCACUUAAUACCCAAUUUGCAAGUUGGGUGCAAUCUCAAUUAAAGAAUCACCCCGAGGAACUUUGGGAAGAUGGUGUUCGAGACUACUUGACUCAUGCAUCAAACAUUAUGGAGAAAUUCAGUGAUGUUGUCAACUGGCUCAAAGCAAAUGCUAUGAAAGGAGGAAAUUCCUCUUCUGCUGAUACUCAUACUUCUGAAAAAAAAUUGGCUCCUGAAAUUAAUAAUAAGGAGGUAAAAUCAUCUCAGGAUAAAACAUUUGCUCCAGCAACUAUGACUACAAGCUUUGGAAUAUUCUCAAGUGGUCAACCCAGUCUUUUCUUCGGAAAUCAAAGCUCAGUUUUCAUGAACCAUAAUGUUUCAAAUAAUGUUGACGACGAUGAAUUACCCCAGCCUAGCAGCCCAUCAGUGAAAAAGUCUGAAGAGAAAGGCAUUGUUGUAGUCCAUGAAGUCAAGUGCAAACUUUAUGUAAAGUCAAGUGAUCCUGCUGAUAAAGAUGCAUGGAAAGAUAAAGGCACUGGGCAGCUUUCCAUUAAAUGCAAGGAGGGUAUCAGCAAGGGUACAAAAGGGUCCAAACCAACUAUUCUUGUUCGAAAUGAUGUUGGAAAAGUGCUGCUUAAUGCAUUGUUAUAUCCGGGAAUCAAGACAAAUUUACAAAAGAAUUCCCUUGUUGCAAUAUUUCAUACUUCGAGUGACGACACUGGUAGUAAUGAUAAUGGUACCGUUGUGGCACGUACUUUCUUAAUCAGGACAAAAACAGAGGAGGAUCGAAAUAAGCUCGCAACAGCAAUCCAAGAAUAUGCCCCGUCUUCGUGAAAGUAAAUUAACAUAGACCUGGGAUUGCCGUUGAGCAUGCCUUCUCACAUCCCUCGACAACUUCAGCAGAACUUGGGCUGAAGAAAGUGAAGCUUGGCAUUGAUGGAAUUGGAGAUGAGAAGUCUGGUGUGCUCGAUUCACAGCAGCUGCUAAAGGAAAAUCCUCCAUAUCCAGAGCAAGGAGUACUGU